AAAAGCCAAUUAAUUAAUAAGCUCAGUAUACUAUUUUGUAUUUUCAAAGCAAAUUAUUUUUUUAGGGAUAAACUGGCAGACAAUGUUAUAUUUUAUACCAUUCAAAAAACAAUAAACUUUUUUCAUUAAACUUGUUUAUAUUGUGUUUCAUUUAUUCAAUGUGAAUAAUGUAAACAUUGUUUGUACAAUUCUGUUUACUUUUUAAUAGGCUACCUCUCUUAUUACUUAUAUAAAAUCAUAAUGAUUUUUGUUCU
This is a non-coding RNA of Cinara cedri, 254 nucleotides long. The record is from the annotation of a GenBank genome assembly. Lineage: Eukaryota; Metazoa; Arthropoda; Insecta; Hemiptera; Aphididae.